RNAcentral lists this ribosomal RNA (338 nucleotides) under uncultured Anaerolineaceae bacterium. Its description in RNAcentral is "bacterial SSU rRNA". It matches the Rfam family "Bacterial small subunit ribosomal RNA", at positions 1032 to 1382 of the family's 1533-position model. The record is from RNAcentral. Lineage: Bacteria; Bacillati; Chloroflexota; Anaerolineae; Anaerolineales; Anaerolineaceae.
GUACAGGUGCUGCAUGGCUGUCGUCAGCUCGUGUCGUGAGAUGUUCGGUUAAGUCCGCUAACGAGCACAACCCUCGCUGUGUGUUACAAGUGUCACACGGAACUGCCGGUCAUAAACCGGAGGAAGGUGGGGAUGACGCCAAGUCAGCAUGGCCUUUAUAUCCUGGGCUACACACACGCUACAAUGGGAAGGGACAAUAGGUUGCGAAGCCGCGAGGCGGAGCCAAUCCAGCAAAACUUCCCUCAGUUCAGAUUGCAGGCUGCAACUCGCCUGCAUGAAGUUGGAGUUGCUAGUAAACGCAGGUCAGCCAUACUGCGUUGAAUACGUUCCCGGGUCUU